Molecule: long non-coding RNA, 782 nt
Filed under: Carica papaya (papaya)
Lineage: Eukaryota; Viridiplantae; Streptophyta; Magnoliopsida; Brassicales; Caricaceae
Description: long non-coding RNA (CPAP_LNC011696)
Source: RNAcentral
UAUUUGUGCUAAUAUAUUUGGGAAGGUGAUCAUGCUAUUAUAUACAGAUUAUUAUGCUACUAUACACUGGAAUAUUCUAUAAUAUUCUAACAAGAAGGAAGAUAUCAUAGGUGAAGACUUCCUGUUGGGAGAUGAGGUGGAGGAAGAUUAUGAAUUCGACUUUCAGAAACAGAAAGCAACAGUGGUGCCAGCAGAGGAAGAAAAACUGCUUCAAGUUGGCUGUUUGAAUUACAAGGUCUUGGAGGCAUUGGGUUAUGAUAGGGCUUGCGAUUUAGAUGCAUUCUGGUUUUGGAUGUCAUGCUGUAUUGAGGGACUUGGAAGAACCUUUACCUUCUAAGAGAGUACUUCCCUUAAACCAAAUCCUGUUUAACUCUACUUGGCUAAUAAUCUCCUCAGUGAAUCAAGUUUCAAUUAUAGGAACCUUUCUGAUGGCAUUACAAUAUCCGGAACAUGGCUAGGGGAAUUAUUCCAUUGUUGGAUGGAGACAAGACAAUCUCCAAGUGCGACACUGUUAAGGAAAAUGAGGUUCAUGAAGAUCCUAACAUUUUUAUGUAGGAAAUUGAGACAAAUGUUUAUGAGGAAGGUUUCUUUUUUUGUGAAAAGGAAGUGAGGUUGAGAAUUUCCAUGAAGACUUAUGUUAAAACAAAGGGGCGGACCAAUCUUAUACUUAAAGUGGCUAGCCUCUAUCACCAGGAUGAUGGAGAUCCUAAGGAUUGGAGGUGAAAAGAUAAUUUGUUAAGAAGAUUGUUAGUCGGAAUAUCAGUGGCUUAGGAAAUAGUUUG